AUGGCCGCCGAGGUGCUGGUCGGAUCCGAGCGCCGCGUGCUCAUCAGCGCCCUCCCCGCGCCGCCGCCGCCCGACAGCCUGCUCGGCCGCCUCGACCAGAUCGACCUACGGCUGAGGCAGCUAGAGGAGGAGCGGCGGCCGUCCUCGGCCGCCGAGGGCGACGGCGCGCGUCCGGCGCCGCGGCACCAGCACAGCAAGUCCAUGCCGUCGGCGCUCCAGCCGCAGGACGCGCGCGACGUGAGGGGCACGCUCAUGGACCGCCUCAACCUGCUCGAGUCGCGCAUCAGGCAGCUCAGCUGCGAGCUCGACCUCGACGGCUCCGGGAGCGGCAAGGCUGCCGCCGCGUCGUGCCUCCCGACGCCCGACUGCGCGUGGUCCGAGCCGCCGCUGCCCGACCCCGCCAUGCGCGCGCGCGCGGUGAAGAAGCUGAAGGAGGCCAAGUGCGCGUGCGAGGAGGAGAAGAGGAAGGCGGAGCGCGCCGGCCGGAGGUGGUUCACCGUCGGGUGCUAG
Molecule: ribosomal RNA, 510 nt
Filed under: Triticum aestivum (bread wheat)
Lineage: Eukaryota; Viridiplantae; Streptophyta; Magnoliopsida; Poales; Poaceae
Description: partial small subunit ribosomal RNA
Source: RNAcentral